AGAGCGAACGCUGGCGGCAGGCCUAACACAUGCAAGUCGAACGAACUCUUCGGAGUUAGUGGCGGACGGGUGAGUAACACGUGGGAACGUGCCUUUUGGUUCGGAAUAACUCAGGGAAACUUGUGCUAAUACCGAAUGUGCCCUUCGGGGGAAAGAUUUAUCGCCAUUAGAGCGGCCCGCGUCUGAUUAGCUUGUUGGUGAGGUAAUGGCUCACCAAGGCUACGAUCAGUAGCUGGUCUGAGAGGAUGACCAGCCACAUUGGGACUGAGACACGGCCCAAACUCCUACGGGAGGCAGCAGUGGGGAAUCUUGCGCAAUGGGCGAAAGCCUGACGCAGCCAUGCCGCGUGUAUGAUGAAGGUCUUAGGAUUGUAAAUACUUUCACCGUGAAGAUAAUGACUGUAGCCGGAGAAGAAGCCCCCGGCUAACUUCGCGCCAGCAGCCGC
This 445-nucleotide ribosomal RNA is filed under the name uncultured soil bacterium. RNAcentral describes it as "bacterial SSU rRNA". It matches the Rfam family "Bacterial small subunit ribosomal RNA", at positions 26 to 518 of the family's 1533-position model. The record is from RNAcentral.